This is a long non-coding RNA of Trifolium pratense (red clover), 2976 nucleotides long. RefSeq lists it as uncharacterized. The transcript is spliced from 6 exons. Lineage: Eukaryota; Viridiplantae; Streptophyta; Magnoliopsida; Fabales; Fabaceae. The record is from RefSeq and is a predicted model, not a curated record.
CAUGGCAGAUUUGCAGGCUAGAAUCCAAAAACUUCAAUUAGGUUGGAAUCAAUUUCAAAUUUCAAAUUCUCCCUCUCUUCAAUAUCAUAACUCACUUUCUUUCUCAUGGAUUUCAAUUCUUCUCUCAUCAGCUCUCUCUCAUCCUCUCUGAUAUCUUCACCACCACCAACACCUUCGCUGCCAUCACUUUCUUUCUCAUUAAGUUCUCUUCUCAAUCAAAUCCCCCACUAGAUUCACUUCCAUUGCAAUCUUCAGGUAACAGAUAAUUUAGGAUUCGUCAAUCUGUAAGUAAUCCCUUUUUAUCUUUUAUAUGGAUUACAUUCAUCUCAUGUUUUGAAUUUUUUUAUUCAUCCUCUGUAUUAUUACAUUGUUUGUUCUUUGAUUCAUAUUGUUUCUAUUUUAUUGAUAAAUUUGGAAUACAAUGAUUUUCAUUAUUAUUAUUUGUAUAUUUGGAUUCAGAAGUCACAAAACCUUAUGAAGAUACUUUUGUAUGGAUUUGAUGGCAUGAAGGUUUCAUCAGCUUCUUCAUAUAGAAAAGUUUCAACUUGCUUCUCAAUCCCUUCCUUAUUUCAUCAUUUGAUUUCAUAUUCUGAUUUUUUUUUCUGGAAUGUUAUUGUUUGUUCAGGUUCCGAAAUUAGGGUUUGAUUGGUUAAGUUUUCUGAACUUUAACUGAUUGUAUUUGAGUAGUAUUUAGCUGAUGUUUAUUAUUUGAGUAGUUAUGUUUUUGUUUUGAUUUUUGAUUCAGAAUUCAAUAUUAUUAGAAAGUUUAUCAAAUUCAGAAUUCAUGUACUUUGUAAGCCUUAAUUAAUUAAUAAUGAUCAUGAGAUAUACCAUCAACUUGAUUUAGUUACUUACUUUCAUAGGUAUUCUAGAUGGAUAAUCUUAUCAAGGUGUAUCAAAUUUGCAAUCUAUGUGUGAUGAUUUGGUUGAUUUUCAUUCUAUCUUCAAUGAGUUAUAGGCAGUUCAAUUUUGAAGUAAUAGAUCUAGAUUUUUUUUUAUAUUCAAUAGAUCUAGAUUUUUGUUGGUGAAAGUUUAAAACUUUCAUCCUUGAUUGUUGAAUUGUGUUGGUACAUCAACUUUAUCUGUUAAUUAAAUUUUUGGAAUGGUUCUUGAAUUAAUUUGUAGGUUAAUGAGUAAUGAAAUUUACAGGUGGGGUAGAAUCUUUUACCCAAGUAAAGGAAUAUAGAUUGGAUUAGGGCUCAUAUGAAUAUCAGCUGUGGUUAUUGUGAUGAGAUCAUCAUAAUCUUCAAUCUAAUGAGAACAUUUUCUAUGUAGAUUUUGUAGGCUUUGGCACUGUAAUUUAUUUCUCUAUACUUGGUUGGAUUCGUAUAGGCUAUUGCUAAAGAUAAACUUGAUUGGGGGUGAUACAAGUAGUGUGAGUACUCCAAUUUUGUAUUACAAUAAGGCACAAGUUAUUUAUCUGUAAUUUUUUAAAUUAGUCUUUGCAAUAAACUCAAUUUUAGAUUAGUCUUUUUGUUGAACAUUGUUGCUUAUUUAUGUUGUUGAGUUUUGUGUUGUGAUUGAAAUCUAUUGAAUUUGUGUGUUGGAAAACCUUUCGUUGUAACAAGGCUUCUGAAAAAUAAAAGUGGUGUGAUUUCUUUCCAUAUUAGAGCCUUGGUCAUUUUGUAGGUGUUUGGACCAAUUUAUUUCAUAUUUCAAUUUCACAUGUUUGUUGUGAUUAUGAUGACGUUAACUAUUAAGUAUGAUUUUUGGUUUUUAUGUAUUCUUUUAUGCAAGAUGAUAUUAAGUAUUAGAUAGAUGAAGAAUGUGAUAAACUAAAGGACAUCAUGAAGAGAAUUCUUUUUUUGUUUAAUACAUUGAAUCAGGGAACAACAAGAGUGACGAACAAGGAGUCUUUAAAUAGUCACCAAAAGUAUGAAUUCAAGACACUAAAUUUAAGUUAAUGCCUUAGACUCAAUGAAAUGUAUGGCUGCUGUAAAAAGGAAAGGAGAAGUGCAAGAAGACGAUAUUUACAUUAAGUUUCUCACUUCCUUUUCAUUGAUGAAGAAAGAGGUGAGUGAAGAUCCAUUCAUCUUGCUUCUUGCAAAGGUAGUAGAAGUUUUAUGUAUUUUGAUUGUCGUAAUUUAAUUUUGUUCCCGGCUGAUUUGGAAGAAGCAGAAUACAUAGUGUUCAAGUACAUAUAGUGGAUAGUGCAAUGGGUUGUUAGCUUUUUCGUGUAUAAGACUUGGUUUUGGAGUUUUUCAUUGGUUUGGUUUUGGAGUUCUAUAGUUUGAUUUUAGAAAUUUGCAUAGAAGCAAUGCUUGGUCAGUUUGGUAAUCCUAUAGUUUUGAUUUGUUUGAUUGCUCUCCCAGACAUUUUUAACACAUUCACUUUUUUGAAGGGCGAGUAACGAGAAUGAAGUUGGAAAGUUGCUAUUAACUAUUGUUGAGAGAAUGUAGCAAGAUUAGCAAUGCCAUGAUGAAGGAGUGGCUUUCCAUGUUUUCCCUUAGCAUUCUGAUAUACAUGUUUUCCCUUGCCAUUUUUUCUUAACUGAACAUGAACCUUAAGUGUCUCAUUCUUAGAAGCCUUUGUUGGUUCACGUACUAGGACAUAAUCCCUUUAAAUAUGUCAAGCCAUAACAAUUUGGUUUAUAAUAUAAAUUUGGAAGGUACUUAAUUGAACAUGAACCUUACGAGUCUCAUUCUUAGAAGAGAAACUGGGAGUAGCUUUCAAUAUCAACGGGACUGCGACCUUAAAAGAGUGAUUUUAGGUAACACAUCAAGCAUGAGAUUAAAUAGGUCAGGACUUUAUAUCCAAUACCAAGUAAUUAGUGCACAUAAUGUGCCAUAUACAAGCAGAAAAGCUCGACACGAGCUUGAUAUUGUACGAGUUCUCCAACUACAAGGAAACUCUAGAGUUUGUGGAAGAUUAGCUAAAGCCUGAGUGCAACUAGGAUAGACACAAUUUCUAUUGUAUAUUCUUGAUAUAGUUAUCUCAAUUUCUAUUGUAUCGUGUACUAUUAAAAGUAUGUACACC